AUUUAAAUUAGGUCUGUGCACAACCCUGACUAGAAAUGAAACUUGUUCGGAUAGUUAUGUGUAUUAUUAUUAUUAUUAUACAUCCUGACAGCAGCACUUAAGAAGAACCUACAAAAACUUGUGCAUUUCACCCUUUUAGUCAAAGCACUGGGUGUCACUCAGUAACCCAGCAGCAGAGGUUUAAGAACAGCAGUGGAUACUUCCUUUCAGCUCAUCACAAGAGCUUUUUCAACAGAAAUGAACACAUGGCAGAACAUCUGCAGAACAUCGCAAACUGCAGGAAUCAGAAACUGAGCAGCAAACAGGAGGAGAGUCAAUCUACUGAAGCAGGAGAGAAACAGAGCAAGAGUCGAGUCAGACGGAGCAGCUUUAAUGAAGACACACCAAACUUUUCUCACGAUUCAGACAGACCUGCAGAGAUUCAGUCGAUUGUUUCAAAGAGAGACAUUCAUAGAUGAGGCGAGAUAUUAAUAAUCAUUUUAUUUUAUUUUACAACUGUAAAAAUACAAUACCAAUAGUAAUAUCUUUUUUCAUUUUCAGAUCAUAAACAGGAAGCUCUUGACAAAUCUGGAGAAGUGGAGCAUGAUGUGCAUCAGACUGACUGAGAGCUGGGACUUUUAUUCUGAAGGGACAUCAACACACACACACACACACACACACAACCAACUGCUGGUCAAAAAUAUGACAUCUUUAGUUUUAUGUUUGUAGUUCUGGUUGUGUUUUAUCUUCUCGUUCAUUGUCUCAAGUUGUUUCUUAGUUUGUCUGUUUAAGGUUGUGACUUUGUUUCAAUGUUUGCUGUGCAUUGAUACAUUAACAUCAUCAUUCAAAGAAAAGACCCCAAAAUAAUUUACAGAUUAAGAGUUACAUAUUCAUUUGUAAAUAUAGUAUAUGCUUUAAUUUGAUCAUUUCUAACUGUAUAUGUUACUGUCUGAU
Long non-coding RNA from Cyprinus carpio carpio, 933 nucleotides. The record is from Ensembl. Lineage: Eukaryota; Metazoa; Chordata; Actinopteri; Cypriniformes; Cyprinidae.